GAUGAACGCUGGCGGCGUGCUUAACACAUGCAAGUCGAACGGAAAGGCCCAAGCUUGCUUGGGUACUCGAGUGGCGAACGGGUGAGUAACACGUGGGUGAUCUGCCCUGCACUUCGGGAUAAGCCUGGGAAACUGGGUCUAAUACCGGAUAGGACGAUGGUUUGGAUGCCAUUGUGGAAAGUUUUUUCGGUGUGGGAUGAGCUCGCGGCCUAUCAGCUUGUUGGUGGGGUAAUGGCCUACCAAGGCGUCGACGGGUAGCCGGCCUGAGAGGGUGUACGGCCACAUUGGGACUGAGAUACGGCCCAGACUCCUACGGGAGGCAGCAAUGGGGAAUAUUGCACAAUGGGGGCAAGCCUGAUGCAGCGACGCCGCGUGGGGGAUGACGGCCUUCGGGUUGUAAACUCCUGUCGCUAGGGACGAAGCGUUUUUGUGACGGUACCUGGAGAAGAAGCACCGGCUAACUACGUG
RNAcentral lists this ribosomal RNA (468 nucleotides) under uncultured bacterium. RNAcentral's name for it is "partial 16S ribosomal RNA". It matches the Rfam family "Bacterial small subunit ribosomal RNA", at positions 28 to 507 of the family's 1533-position model. The record is from RNAcentral.